RNAcentral lists this long non-coding RNA (298 nucleotides) under Elaeis guineensis (African oil palm). RNAcentral describes it as "long non-coding RNA (EGUI_LNC082224)". Lineage: Eukaryota; Viridiplantae; Streptophyta; Magnoliopsida; Arecales; Arecaceae. The record is from RNAcentral.
UCCUAGUUUGGAUAUGGGUUUUUCUCUCCUUUUUGUCUAAGAGUUGAACAAAAAUUCCUACAUCUCUAGCAUAAAGAUUUGGUGCAUGGGUUUUAGAAAGAAAAGAAAAUAAAUGAUUCUUCUCAUGAUCUCUAGCAUAGAAAUCAUCAUCCUCCUAUUUUCUUCUUCUUCUUUAAAAGUAUCUUGAGAGAAAAAAAGAUUAUUCAACCAUCAAGAUGAGAUCUCUACAAGAGAGCUAGCACUCCAGUGAGAUUAAGAAGCUUCUGAUCAGAUUGAAGUCUCGUAUGGAUAUCUGUAA